Molecule: unclassified non-coding RNA, 287 nt
Filed under: Hevea brasiliensis (rubber tree)
Lineage: Eukaryota; Viridiplantae; Streptophyta; Magnoliopsida; Malpighiales; Euphorbiaceae
Source: RNAcentral
CAAAACUUCUCACAUUCGUGAAUAACCAGAGACAUAAAAACAUCAACAUGUUGACAUCGAAUUAAACCCUUCUCUUGUUUACGCAAAGUUUUACACAUUAUUUACAAAUGUAUAUUAUUUCUCAUGCUAAUUGACAAUGUAUCCUACCACAAUCCGAGGUCUACCAAACAUAAAUAAAGCUUCCAUUGUUUUUACAGUUUCAAGUAAAAAAUGUGGAGAAACUGUAACCCGAGGUGACAGCUGGUUCAACACUUGUACAUAACAAAAUAAAGAAAAAAAAAAAAAAA